GAUCCUGGCUUAGGAUGAACGCUGGCGGCGUGCUUAACACAUGCAAGUCGAACGGAGUUUUAAACGGAAGUUUUCGGAUGGAAGUUUAAGAACUUAGUGGCGGACGGGUGAGUAACGCGUGGGUAACCUGCCUCAUACAGGGGGAUAACAGUUAGAAAUGACUGCUAACACCGCAUAAUAUAGUGAAACCGCAUGAUUUUGCUAUCAAAUAUUUAUAGGUAUGAGAUGGGCCCGCGUCUGAUUAGCUAGUUGGUGGGGUAAAAGCCUACCAAGGCGACGAUCAGUAGCCGGCUUGAGAGAGUGACCGGCCACAUUGGGACUGAGACACGGCCCAAACUCCUACGGGAGGCAGCAGUGGGGAAUAUUGGACAAUGGGGGAAACCCUGAUCCAGCGAACCGCCGCGUGAGUGAAGAAGUAUUUCGGUAUGUAAAGCUCUAUCAGCAGGGAAGAUAAUGACAGUACCUGACUAAGAAGCCCCGGCUAACUACGUGCCAGCCGCAGC
Molecule: ribosomal RNA, 503 nt
Filed under: uncultured bacterium
Lineage: Bacteria
Description: bacterial SSU rRNA
Rfam family: Bacterial small subunit ribosomal RNA
Source: RNAcentral